CCUGCCGUAUCACCUAAGUUCCUCUCCGUUAGUCCGUUGGUACAAUCCGUAAGAUCAAGCUCGACUACUCUAUAAUCUAGAAUUAGCUGGUUUUAAAGUUUUUAGCAACACCGAAGGGUAGGAAUUAGCAUGAUACCAGUUCAAGUUGGUACGUCACGUGAUUAAGGAAUAACCUAUAUAAAAUACAAGCCGGAAUGGCUACUGGCUUAAUGUAUUAAUAAGCAUUAACAUUUUCAUGUACUUAAAAAAAAAAAAAAAAACAUUCAUUCAGAUCUAAAUGUGAUGGAACUGACAUCCUUGUUUAGUUGUUGUUGAUUUUAUAUUCAUAGGUAUGCUCUUUGGUAACUGUAGACGGUGAGCCCCGCCUACUUCCAGCCAUCUUUAAUUUUCAUUGGCUGUCAGAAUCUUUUCACCAAUGGAUGUAUAAGUCGAGAUGUAAUUGAAUCAUUUACGUAUCCUUGAAAUUGGAAUCAAUCAUAUGUGUAAUAUAGAGUGAAGAUGACUAUUAAGGGGUGAUAUUAAUAAAUAGCUUACCCAAAAUCUACCAACUUCCAAGCAAGGACCGAAGCACAUAAACUCGGAAAUCAAUUAAACGCAGGACUUCGGGAAUGUCCGGAGAGCCGACAACCUUGCUUCGGAAGUUGAAAAUCUACCUGUCUUCUAUACAUGCAAGUUUGAUUGCUCAUAAAAUUUGAUUUCUAAAGAUGAUGCCAAUACCUCGUGAUAUUUGUGCCGUACAAAAGACGAAUUACGCUAUUCUCUGCACAAUAAAUAUUGUUUCAAGAAAACAUCAGGUACGCGUAAUUUUUUGCUGCAGUAUUGUAUUCUUCGCUGUCUUUUAUUUAACAAUGUACGUGUAUUCUUUAGUGUUAGUAAUUUUAAAUGCCACUUUCCACACUAUUGUGCUAUUUCGUGCUGGUCAGUGUUUAUUGAAGGUGGAAAUCGGAGUGCUCGUAGAGAGCAACCGACCUUUGAAUGGAAGACUUACAAUUCUUGUCAAUUAAUAUGCCGGAUUCGAACUAUACCCCACAGUGUUGACAGUUAGGCUUGUUAAGCCUACUAGAACACUCGGUACACGAUGCCCUAUGUUUGUUUUUGUGUAUCUUUCUUUAAGUAUUUGUGUUGUUUGGUUAAAUGUAUUUUAUUGUUUUACGAACUCAACUUCCGGUUCUGGGUGGGGUUCAUAUAGAUGAAUCUUUAGUGUAGUGUUUUGCGAACUUGUUUUUUUUUGACGUUUUUUUCGCCAAGGCGUUGUUAGCUUUUCUUCAUCUUAUGAGUUAACGGCAUUUCACAAGACAACACACCUAAUGGAAUGUAUGGAUAGACAGUUUUCAAACCUUGUAUGUAGUUCGAUAGGACAAACAUUUGUAUGUCUCUGACCGCAAGGCACUUGUUAAUUUUCGCAAAACAUUAGUUAAGGAACAUAAUAUGUUUAUCAGUUGGGAACUAAAAAUAUUCUGAAUCAGAAAAAAGACACAUUUUUUCAUAGGUUUCUUUCAUUAAGUAUGUUUUGGUGCCGGAGUUUUCUUUAAGCUUAUGAUAAUAUUUCAAAUAAUUUUCCUUUGUUCGUUGCACUAUUUCUCUUAUUUAUACGAUCUUACAAUAAAUGUAGUCUUUCUAGGAUAUAAUGGUAAACAUUGUGCCCUCUAUUUUGAUAAUGCAAGAAUAAGUUUACAGCAGUAUAAAUAAAUUCAACAGUAGUAUACCGCUGUUCAAUAAUAAUAAAUCG
This 1729-nucleotide long non-coding RNA is filed under the name Mytilus galloprovincialis (Mediterranean mussel). The record is from RNAcentral. Lineage: Eukaryota; Metazoa; Mollusca; Bivalvia; Mytilida; Mytilidae.